UACAGAGGUCUCAAGCGUUGUUCGGAUUCAUUGGGCGUAAAGGGUGCGUAGGUGGCGGGGUAAGUCAGGUGUGAAAUUUCGGAGCUUAACUCCGAAACUGCAUUUGAUACUGCCUUGCUUGAGGACUGGAGAGGAGACUGGAAUUCACGGUGUAGCAGUGAAAUGCGUAGAGAUCGUGAGGAAGACCAGUGGCGAAGGCGGGUCUCUGGGUAGAUACUGACGCUGAGGUGCGAAAGCGUGGGGAGCAAACAGG
RNAcentral lists this ribosomal RNA (253 nucleotides) under uncultured bacterium. Its description in RNAcentral is "partial 16S ribosomal RNA". It matches the Rfam family "Bacterial small subunit ribosomal RNA", at positions 524 to 776 of the family's 1533-position model. The record is from RNAcentral.